Oreochromis aureus is the source of this 1620-nucleotide long non-coding RNA. RefSeq lists it as uncharacterized. Lineage: Eukaryota; Metazoa; Chordata; Actinopteri; Cichliformes; Cichlidae. The record is from RefSeq and is a predicted model, not a curated record. The transcript has 3 exons.
UGCUUCCUCAGGAGCUGCUUCAGUUGUUGGAGGAUGGAGAAGAGGACGCAGCCAUGACUUGUGAGACGGCGUCUGAGUCAGCUACUGCUCACUAGGAGAUCAGAAACAUGGUGUCCUCGCAAAAGUGGAACGAGGCCAGGCCUUGUCUUAUAGACAAUAUGUUAGCUACUCUGGAUCCACUGUCACACCGUGUGUGUCAGUGUGGCAAACAAGUAGUUGUGAGGUGUCUGGACUGCCUGCCUCUUCCAUUCCUUUGUGCUGAGUGUGAUAUUGCAGUUCACACACGCUUUGUCCUGCACAACAGAGAGGCAGUAACAGAAGGGUUUUUGCAGCCUUCAUCAGAGUUUCACAAGCCAAUAGUUCGGCUGUUGCCUGUGCAAAGCCCAGACCAUGUGUGUGACUGCCCAGCAGGUAAUGUUGAGGUUUCACCCGGCGCAAUUGUGGCUCUUGUAACCAUAAAUGGUAAGUUUGCUCUUUUGUCACACAGUACAUACACAAUAGAUGUGUUUGCAGGUUUUAGUGCAAAUUGUACAUUGCUGUCAUCAUCAUCAUCGUUUAUUUAUAUAGCACUUUAAAAACACACAAGGCUGACCAAAGUGCUGAACAAUAGAAACAUAAUAGAUACAUAUAUAAGAAUUGCUAUCUUGUUUUGAAUUACACUCGGCCCGCAGUAUAUGUGGGCACCUGUCAAAGGUCAUUUGGAUUUACCAGAUCGCUUUGAAAACAACAUGAAAAAAAUGAACGCUUUGAGCCAUGACUGAAUUUAUCCUUAUCCUUCCUAAAGGCCGGUAUAACCUUGCACUGCCAGUGGUGAGCUGCACCAGCUGUGGCCUAAUGUGGUCCCCCUCAGUUAAGGACAUCCUGGGUAGUGGAUAUUGGCCUGGCACCUUAAAUUUCUGCACCCUGUUUUCAAUGGAUUUCUUUCAGUCUUUCUAUGACAUUAAGAAGGCUGCACCAGGGAUGUCACUUAAGGCAUUUGUCAAAAUGCUGGAUGAAAGAACAGCCCAUUUUGGAAGGACUGGCCGAAUAUCAGCUGAUGCCUUCAGUAAAAGCUUUGUGGAGUGGAGUGCUGUAAAGUUUGAGGUGGACAGGAUGUGCAAGGAGCCAAGGAGCCAUGCAUUAGCUGCCCUGCCUGCACUCCAGACAUGCUUGCCGUCUCAGUUGAUGGAAACCAUAAGCUUUAUCGCAUUCAAUCAAAUACAAGGUACAUUAUGCAUUGUGUACAUAAAUCAAAUAUGGCUUUGUAGAAAAAAGUAUUUUAAUGUUUCUUUUCAAACAACUGUCACUCUAUCCAUUCAGCACUUCAGAGCAGGUGAACUAUGAAGGUGUCUUCAUUGAAAAAGAUGAGGAAGUUGCUGAGUUUAUGAAAUACAUCCAGAGACACACAAAUGAUGUAAGAGACGCAUAAAUAUUAGUGCUGUCAGCGUUAAUCUUGUUAAAAUGACGUUAACGCCAUAACCAUAUACACAUAUGUGUGUGUGUGUGUGUGUGUGUGUGUGUGUGUGUGUGUGUGUGAUAUGGAUGGGUGGAUAUUUAUUUUAUUUUUCUCUUGGUGUUGUCGUAAUACUAUUUACUUUACUUUAUCUUAAUGUGUACUUAAUUUUGUCACCAUGUGUAUUU